AUUGAACGCUGGCGGCAUGCUUUACACAUGCAAGUCGAACGGUAACAGGCCGCAAGGUGCUGACGAGUGGCGCACGGGUGAGUAAUGCAUCGGAACGUGCCCAGUCGUGGGGGUUAACUACUCGAAAGAGUAGCUAAUACCGCAUACGAUCUAUGGAUGAAAGCGGGGGACCGUAAGGCCUCGCGCGAUUGGAUCGGCCGAUGUCAGAUUAGGUAGUUGGUGGGGUAAAGGCUCACCAAGCCAACGAUCUGUAGCUGGUCUGAGAGGACGACCAGCCACACUGGGACUGAGACACGGCAAAGACUACUACGGGAGGCAGCAGUGGGGAAUUUUGGACAAUGGGCGCAAGCAUGAUACAGCAAUGCCGCGUGCAGGAAGAAGGCCUUCGGGUUGUAAACUGCUUUUGUACGGAACGAAACGGCUCUGGUUAAUACCCGGGGCUAAUGACGGUAACGUAAGAAUAAGCACCGGCUAACUACGUG
This 482-nucleotide ribosomal RNA is filed under the name uncultured bacterium. RNAcentral describes it as "partial 16S ribosomal RNA". It matches the Rfam family "Bacterial small subunit ribosomal RNA", at positions 30 to 507 of the family's 1533-position model. The record is from RNAcentral.